CCUACGGGAGGCAGCAGUGAGGAAUAUUGGUCAAUGGACGAGAGUCUGAACCAGCCAAGUAGCGUGAAGGAUGACUGCCCUAUGGGUUGUAAACUUCGUUUAUAUGGGAAUAAAAUGUUCCACGUGUGGGAUUUUGUAUGUACCAUAUGAAUAAGGAUCGGCUAACUCCGUGCCAGCAGCCGCGGUAAUACGGAGGAUCCGAGCGUUAUCCGGAUUUAUUGGGUUUCACGGGAGCGUAGGUGGAUUGUUAAGUCAGUUGUGAAAGUUUGCGGCUCAACCGUAAAAUUGCAGUUGACACUGGCAGUCUUGAGUACAGUAGAGGUGGGCGGAAUUCGUGGUGUAGCGGUGAAAUGCUUAGAUAUCACGAAGAACUCCGAUUGCGAAGGCAGUUCACUGGACUGCAACUGACACUGAGGCUCGAAAGUGUGGGUAUCAAACAGGAUUAGAUACCCCAGUAGUC
This 460-nucleotide ribosomal RNA is filed under the name uncultured bacterium. RNAcentral describes it as "partial 16S ribosomal RNA". It matches the Rfam family "Bacterial small subunit ribosomal RNA", at positions 338 to 795 of the family's 1533-position model. The record is from RNAcentral.